CCCCAUUACCAUGCUCGUAAGGACCAUCAUAGCCCUCACAAAACUCAUUUUCACCGUGCUCAUAGCUCAUAUUGCUACAAGCGUAUUCACCAAUAUCAUCUCCACAAUAUUCGGAAGUUACGGAUGACAUUCUUCCUUGUAAUCACCUUGGGUACCUACAAAACUUAGCAAACAAGGUUAGUGGCAAAAUUCCUCACACCUCUCUUAUUUGAUCUCACACUCACCUUCCUAAAGUGUCUUCUCAAAGUUGAUAGAAAACUA
Molecule: long non-coding RNA, 261 nt
Filed under: Solanum tuberosum (potato)
Lineage: Eukaryota; Viridiplantae; Streptophyta; Magnoliopsida; Solanales; Solanaceae
Description: long non-coding RNA (STUB_LNC001471)
Source: RNAcentral